Molecule: ribosomal RNA, 496 nt
Filed under: uncultured bacterium
Lineage: Bacteria
Description: partial 16S ribosomal RNA
Rfam family: Bacterial small subunit ribosomal RNA
Source: RNAcentral
UUGAACGCUGGCGGCAGGCCUAACACAUGCAAGUCGAGCGCGAAAGGUUUUCGGACUGAGUAAAGCGGCGGACGGGUGAGUAACGCGUGGGAAUCUGCCCAGUAGUGGGGGACAACAGCCGGAAACGGCUGCUAAUACCGCAUACGCCCUACGGGGGAAAGGGGGGGAGCUUCGGACCUCUCGCUAUUGGAUGAGCCCGCGUCGGAUUAGCUAGUUGGUAGGGUAAAGGCCUACCAAGGCUACGAUCCGUAACUGGUCUGAGAGGAUGAUCAGUCACACUGGAACUGAGACACGGUCCAGACUCCUACGGGAGGCAGCAGUGGGGAAUAUUGGACAAUGGGGGCAACCCUGAUCCAGCCAUGCCGCGUGUGUGAAGAAGGCCUUAGGGUUGUAAAGCACUUUCAGUGGGGAGAAAGGUUUGUCACCUAAUACGUGAUGAAAUUGAUGUUACCCACAGAAGAAGCACCGGCUAACUCCGUGCCAGCCGCCGCGGUAA